This 433-nucleotide ribosomal RNA is filed under the name uncultured bacterium. RNAcentral's name for it is "partial 16S ribosomal RNA". It matches the Rfam family "Bacterial small subunit ribosomal RNA", at positions 29 to 507 of the family's 1533-position model. The record is from RNAcentral.
AACGAACGCUGGCGGCAUGCCUAACACAUGCAAGUCGAACGAGACCUUCCGGUCUAGUGGCGCACGGGUGCGUAACGCGUGGGAACCUGCCCUUAGGUUCGGAAUAACUCCCCGAAAGGGGUGCUAAUACCGGAUAAUGUCUUCGGACCAAAGAUUUAUCGCCUUUGGAUGGGCCCGCGUUGGAUUAGCUAGUUGGUAGGGUAAAAGCCUACCAAGGCGACGAUCCAUAGCUGGUCUGAUAGGAUGAUCAGCCACACUGGGACUGAGGCACGGCCCAGACUCCUACGGAAGGGAGCAGUAGGGAAUAUUGGAGGAUGGGCGAAAGCCUGAUCCAGCAAUGCCGCGUGAGUGAUGAAGGCCUUAGGGUUGUAAAGCUCUUUUACCCGGGAUGAGAAUGACAGUACCGGGAGAAGAAGCUCCGGCUAACUCCGUG